This 894-nucleotide ribosomal RNA is filed under the name uncultured Actinomycetes bacterium. RNAcentral describes it as "bacterial SSU rRNA". It matches the Rfam family "Bacterial small subunit ribosomal RNA", at positions 8 to 917 of the family's 1533-position model. Lineage: Bacteria; Bacillati; Actinomycetota; Actinomycetes. The record is from RNAcentral.
AGAGUUUGAUCAUGGCUCAGGACGAACGCUGGCGGCGUGCUUAACACAUGCAAGUCGAACGGUAAGGCCCUUCGGGGUACACGAGUGGCGAACGGGUGAGUAACACGUGGGUGAUCUGCCCUGCACUUUGGGAUAAGCCUGGGAAACUGGGUCUAAUACCGAAUAUGACCAUGGACUUCACGGUUUGUGGUGGAAAGCUUUUGCGGUGUGGGAUGGGCCCGCGGCCUAUCAGCUUGUUGGUGGGGUAAUGGCCUACCAAGGCGACGACGGGUAGCCGGCCUGAGAGGGUGUCCGGCCACACUGGGACUGAGAUACGGCCCAGACUCCUACGGGAGGCAGCAGUGGGGAAUAUUGCACAAUGGGCGCAAGCCUGAUGCAGCGACGCCGCGUGAGGGAUGACGGCCUUCGGGUUGUAAACCUCUUUCACCAGGGACGAAGCGCAAGUGACGGUACCUGGAGAAGAAGCACCGGCCAACUACGUGCCAGCAGCCGCGGUAAUACGUAGGGUGCGAGCGUUGUCCGGAAUUACUGGGCGUAAAGAGCUCGUAGGUGGUUUGUCGCGUUGUUCGUGAAAACUCACAGCUUAACUGUGGGCGUGCGGGCGAUACGGGCAGACUGGAGUACUGCAGGGGAGACUGGAAUUCCUGGUGUAGCGGUGGAAUGCGCAGAUAUCAGGAGGAACACCGGUGGCGAAGGCGGGUCUCUGGGCAGUAACUGACGCUGAGGAGCGAAAGCGUGGGGAGCGAACAGGAUUAGAUACCCUGGUAGUCCACGCCGUAAACGGUGGGUACUAGGUGUGGGUUUCCUUCCUUGGGGAUCCGUGCCGUAGCUAACGCAUUAAGUACCCCGCCUGGGGAGUACGGCCGCAAGGCUAAACUCAAAUGAAUUGACGGG